RNAcentral lists this transfer RNA (68 nucleotides) under Marmota monax (woodchuck). RNAcentral's name for it is "tRNA.Ala". Lineage: Eukaryota; Metazoa; Chordata; Mammalia; Rodentia; Sciuridae. The record is from RNAcentral.
GGAGUUGUGGCUCAGUGGCAGAGCGCUGCCUAGCAUGCAUGAGGCACUGAGUUCGAUUCCAGGCACCA